GGGUUCCCCUGGGGGGCUCUCCCAGCUGGGGACCUUGGGGACAACCCUGGGGUGCUGAUGUGUCACUCUCUGACCAGGUGUCUCUUCUCUCCCCCUCUCGCUGACCGCAGCGGCGCAGCCCGGGCACGAUUAAAAGGAAUUUAUCCAGUAAGUAUCUCCUGGAGUCUGCAAACAGCAGCCUUGCACCUUGGAGGGGUUUGUGAGUGAGUUCAAUUUGGGUUCAAGUGCUCCUGGCAGAGCUGGUGGCUCCCAAAUUUUUCCCUGGAGAAGGUGUGGGGGACAUCCUUGGGACAUCAUAAAAAAA
Lonchura striata (white-rumped munia) is the source of this 304-nucleotide non-coding RNA. The record is from RefSeq and is a predicted model, not a curated record. Lineage: Eukaryota; Metazoa; Chordata; Aves; Passeriformes; Estrildidae.